RNAcentral lists this ribosomal RNA (526 nucleotides) under uncultured bacterium. Its description in RNAcentral is "bacterial SSU rRNA". It matches the Rfam family "Bacterial small subunit ribosomal RNA", at positions 777 to 1304 of the family's 1533-position model. The record is from RNAcentral.
AAUAGAUACCCGGGUAGUCCACGCCGUAAACGAUGAGUGCUAGGUGUUAGGGGGUCCAACCCUUAGUGCCGAAGUUAACACAUUAAGCACUCCGCCUGGGGAGUACGGUCGCAAGACUGAAACUCAAAGGAAUUGACGGGGGGCCCGCACAAGCGGUGGAGCAUGUGGUUUAAUUCGAAGCAACACGAAGAACCUUACCAGGGCUUGACAUCCCUCUGACCGUUCUAGAGAUAGAGCUUCCCUUCGGGGCAGAGGUGACAGGUGGUGCAUGGUUGUCGUCAGCUCGUGUCGUGAGAUGUUGGGUUAAGUCCCGCAAUGAGCGCAACCCUUGUCCUUAGUUGCCAGCAUUCAGUUGGGCACUCUAGGGAGACUGCCGGUGACAAACCGGAGGAAGGUGGGGAUGACGUCAAAUCAUCAUGCCCCUUAUGUCCUGGGCUACACACGUGCUACAAUGGCUGGUACAAAGGGUAGCGAAGCAGUGAUGUGGAGCCAAUCCCAAAAAGCCAGUCACAGUUCGGAUUGUAGG